CAAUUUCUUUGUGCUUGUGUUGCUUCGUGUCUGUCAAGGUGUUAGCAAGGAUGGGAUCAAACAACAGCCAUGCUCAACAGAUACCAUCUCCACCACCCAUCUCGGUUGAGUUACCAGCUCCAACUGGGACUUAUUGUCAAGGAGAGAAUUGUGAGAGUGGCAGCUAUCUGGCUAGUAUGAAGGAUCGAUUUCACAAAUUUAUCCAUGCUUCCAAGGAUGAACACAAGGCUUGCUUCAAUAAGUACAUUGAGAAGAUAACUGGAAUGACAACAAUUCUCGGAUCAAAGACUCCUGACUCAAGUGCAGUUUGAAGUUCCUUCCAAUCCCCUUCAAGAAUCUGAGACGACAUGGACAUUUUGCAUUCACAUCUGGAUUACUAGUAUUUAAUUACAGACAAAUAAUCCUUUGUUUUUUUUUUGUCCUGAACCAGAUGUAAAUUUAGUUUUCAACUUAGCAUCUAGAGAGAUUAUGUUUUCGGCAUGAUUUUAGAAUAUAAGACUGGAAUGAGUUUACUAUUUGAUUAGUAGCAUGUGGGUGCAUUUGAUUUUUAAUACUAGGUGAGAAUGUUU
Molecule: long non-coding RNA, 569 nt
Organism: Quercus lobata
Lineage: Eukaryota; Viridiplantae; Streptophyta; Magnoliopsida; Fagales; Fagaceae
Exons: 3
Source: RefSeq, a predicted model, not a curated record